UUUAGUAUUUUAUGUAUCUAUGUAUCUAUAUUUCAUUAUUAGAUAAAUCAAAAGAUUUUGUUCUAUAUAUUACGUACACAAUAACCUUUUCGGUACGAUUGUCGACUUUAGUCGAUAAACACCGAAUAUACACGACCGAUUUUCAGUACGCAGUAUACUGUGGCAAGCGUCGUGUCGCGUCGUGUCGCGUCGUAUCGUAUCGAAAAGGUUAUGGUUAAUUAACCAAUUUGAAAUCGCGACAAAUAAUUUUUAAUUAUUCAAUACAAUAAAAUAUUAAUUGCAAAAAAAGUACACUUUAUUAGAAGAAACAAAUUUUUCAUUAAAAGCAUAAAGGUAUAUUACGGUUCUUUCAAUUUUUUAUGCUUCAAAGUUUUCGUUUGAAAGUAAUAUUGUAUUACUUACAUUUUCAAUUCCAUUACGGUUACAAAAACUUCGAAUUCUUUUCAUCAUUUUUCCGCGAUAUGGACAAGGAUGUUCAUAUUGUCGCCAAUUUCUAAAAUAAAUAUAUAUGUAUCGCGAUCCAGAGGAAUGGUCGAAGAACGUCGAAACGAAAUUACGAUUUCACGUGUGACGAUGAAACUAUUUUAUUUCUUCUCUGCGAGGCUACGUAGCCAGUGAAUUUGCUGAUAUUCGACGAUCGUAAAGUUUUUACACGAAACAGCGUAAAUUUAGCGGAGAGAAAGAAUAUAUUUGAGAAUAUUAUAUGAAUUGAUAUAUCGAAAAAAGUUAAAUAUUGUGCAUAUAAUUGAUUUCAAUACGACAACAAAAUAGAGAGAUUUUUCUACAGUUUCGUGUAGCAAAUGAAAAAAUAAAAAUACUUUUUUUCCCCCCAUCUAAAGACACUGAACAAUUUUUUCACGACUGAAUACACAAUAGACUCGAAGAUUAAACUCGCUGCACGAUUUUAUUUUAUUCCAUCGAAUUCUUAAAUUUUUAAACAUUGGACGACAAAAAUUCAAAAAAAUUAAAAUUAUUAAAAUAGAAUUCCGAUAUUAUAUUUAUCGAAUGGUAUCAAAUUUCUGAGAUGCGAUAUCUCGAAUCUGAUAUCGACAAGAUUUUUCUCUAAAUUUACAGGGAUUACGGAAUAUAUAUAGGGGGAAAAAUUCGUGACACUUGCAGAUGUCAUCCGCGUGGUCCAGUCACGGGGGAGAUGAUAAGUGGGCGCGAGGAGGGAAGAAUGAAAAAUUUCAUUUUAAAGUGCGCCAGGACCAAGCCGUUCCUGUAAAUUAAACUUUAAUCAAAAAUUCCCUUGAGCGUUCGCCCCAACGUGUUACGAUCCUGCGGUGAAUCGUGCUUUCUCUCGACCAGCCGCGAAUCGUCACAGAAAAAACUAUCCUCCCGCAACUUACGAAACAACGUUAUUAAAUGAAAUUUUGUUUACUUUUCUUGCAAUAAGAAUGGCCCGCAAUUAAUUUGUCCCCACGGUCUUCGAAACAUUUUAGAAAGAAUUUUAUGCGAUCUAUUUAAUUUUUAUCCCGUGUAAAGUAUUUUUCUCAAAAAUAUUUCGAGAUACUUUUAAAUUUCGAAUAAUUCGAAAAUCUUGAUGGAAUAUUUUUUCAACCGUUGAUAAUCGAAGAAGAGAUGUAAUUCGAUCUUUAAUUUUCAAAUUUCCAAAAAUUUAUGAAAAUACGAAUAAGUUCAUCGAGAUUUUUUUUAAAACAUUUUUAUAACGAUAAAUUAAAAUCAAUAUCGAAGAAUUUUAUUAAAUAUUUUUCAAUAUUGAAAUAAUUGUAGAGAAAAAGGAAAGAUUUGACGUUUCACAAGGAAAUUACUGGAAAAUAUAUUUAAUUGCGUAGGAUCCAAGUUAUCCUUUGGUUCUCUAACAAAGGUCUGCAAAAUAUUCAUUAUAUAUUCGCUCUCAUUUUAAUUAAUUGCAGAAAAAUUGCAUCGUAAAUUAAAUUUUAUCGUGUAAUUUAUCUUUCUAACGGAUAAUUGAAAAAUAUUGAAUUAAUCGGGAGGAAUAUUCAACUAGAAAAUCGAUUUAAUUUUAGAAAAAUAUAAACCUGUUGAUCGCAUCUGUAUCUGUUCCUGUUGAGGAGGAAUAAAUAAAAAUACGAUUAAUAUACAAAUGUUAAA
Apis mellifera (honey bee) is the source of this 2076-nucleotide long non-coding RNA. RefSeq lists it as uncharacterized. Lineage: Eukaryota; Metazoa; Arthropoda; Insecta; Hymenoptera; Apidae. The record is from RefSeq and is a predicted model, not a curated record. The transcript has 2 exons.